Molecule: non-coding RNA, 29 nt
Filed under: Mus musculus (house mouse)
Lineage: Eukaryota; Metazoa; Chordata; Mammalia; Rodentia; Muridae
Source: RNAcentral
UCAAGCCUUAGAUGAUCUGUCAGAAUCUG